UGAUCCUGGCUCAGGAUGAACGCUGGCGGCGUGCUUAACACAUGCAAGUCGAGCGAAGCAUUUUUAAGGAAGUUUUCGGAUGGAAUUAAAAGUGACUGAGCGGCGGACGGGUGAGUAACGCGUGGGUAACCUGCCUCAUACAGGGGGAUAACAGCUAGAAAUGGCUGCUAAUACCGCAUAAGCGCACAGUGCUGCAUAGUACAGUGUGAAAAACUCCGGUGGUAUGAGAUGGACCCGCGUCUGAUUAGGUAGUUGGUGAGGUAACGGCCCACCAAGCCGACGAUCAGUAGCCGACCUGAGAGGGUGACCGGCCACAUUGGGACUGAGACACGGCCCAAACUCCUACGGGAGGCAGCAGUGGGGAAUAUUGGACAAUGGGGGAAACCCUGAUCCAGCGACGCCGCGUGAGUGAAGAAGUGUUUCGGCAUGUAAAGCUCUAUCAGCAGGGAAGAAAAUGACGGUACCUGACUAAGAAGCCCCGGCUAACUACGUGCCAGCAGCCGCGGUAAUACGUAGGGGGCAAGCGUUAUCCGGAUUUACUGGGUGUAAAGGGAGCGUAGAC
This 562-nucleotide ribosomal RNA is filed under the name uncultured bacterium. RNAcentral's name for it is "bacterial SSU rRNA". It matches the Rfam family "Bacterial small subunit ribosomal RNA", at positions 14 to 576 of the family's 1533-position model. The record is from RNAcentral.